Molecule: transfer RNA, 70 nt
Filed under: Sepiola robusta
Lineage: Eukaryota; Metazoa; Mollusca; Cephalopoda; Sepiida; Sepiolidae
Description: tRNA-Leu
Source: RNAcentral
AUUAGAAUGGCAGAUCAGUGCAUAGGAUUUAAGCUUCUAUUAGGGAAUAAAAUUUUUGUUUCUUCUAAUA